Long non-coding RNA from Carassius gibelio (silver crucian carp), 1592 nucleotides. RefSeq lists it as uncharacterized. NCBI's taxonomy places the organism in Eukaryota, Metazoa, Chordata, Actinopteri, Cypriniformes, Cyprinidae. The record is from RefSeq and is a predicted model, not a curated record. The transcript is spliced from 3 exons.
AUUUUGAUGUCCACGCUGUAGGAGCAUUACUAAAUAAUGCUUAUGUUCCUAGGUUCUUCCAUGCUGAUGGCUGUGCUCUAGAGUCAUAUCUCCUGUCGAAGAACAUUUUUAGACAUUAUGAACCAUGAAUAAGUUUAGCUCCAACCCCAGUUAAGCAGACCUGAGCAGCUGAUCAAGGAUCAGCAGAAACUCUGCAGAACAUUGGUCCUUCAGCCCAGGACUGGACACCAGUGUUGUAAGUCAUUCUGUCUCUUUAUUGUGCAUGUUCAGGACAUAUUGCAGGAGAUCUCAACAUUGUCUCUUAAGGUCCACUUACAUGCAGAGUUUUGCUCCAACCUGCAGUGCACCUGAACACAUUAAUCGAGGUCUAACUUUUAGUGUUGUCACAGUACCAAUUUCAGUACCAAAGCAAAACACAAAAACAUGCUAAUUAUUAUUUUUUUAAUUAUUAUUAUUAGCCGCACUUAUGCUAACAAUUAACUACUCAAAUAACAGUGUUCAUUUCAAUCCGACAUUCAAAUUACAGUUAUAUAUAUAUAUAUCCUGAUAAAUACAGGUGCUGGUCAUAUAAUUAAAAUAUCAUCAAAAAGUUGAUUUCACUAAUUCCAUUCAAAAAGUGAAACUUGUAUAUUAUAUUCAUUCAUUACACACAGACUGAUAUAUUCCAAAUCUUUAUUUCUUUUAAUUUUGAUGUUUAUAACUGACAACUAAGGAAAAUCCCAAAUUCAGUAUCCCAGAAAAUUUGAAUGUUGUGAAAAGGUUCAAUAUUGAAGAGACCUGGUGCCACACUCUAAUCAGCUAAUUAACUCAAAACAACUGCAAAUCCUUUAAAUGGUCUCUCAGUCUCGUUCUGUAGGCUACACAAUCAUGGGGAAGACUGCUGACUUAACCGUUGUCCAAAAGACGACCAUUGACACUUUGCACAAGGAGGGGAAGACACAAAAGGUCAUUUCAAAAGAGGCUGGCUGUUCACAGAGCUCUGUGUCCAAGCACAUUAAUAGAGAGGAGAAGGGAAGGAAAAGAUGUAGUAGAAAAUAAGUGUAGAAGCAAUAGAGAUAACUGCACCCUGGAGAGGAUUGUGAAACAAAACCCAUUCAGAAAUGUGGGGGAGAUUCACAAAGAGUGGACUGCAGCUGGAGUCAGUGCUUCAAGAACCACUACACACAGACGUAUGCAAGACAUGGGUUUCAGCUUCACAUUCCUUGUGUCAAGCCACUCUUGAACAACAGACAGAACCAGAAGUGUCUCGCUUCAAAAAGGACUGUACUGCUGCUGAGUAGUGAUAUAUCAGACCCAAGAAUGCAGAAGAGCUGAAGGCCACUAUCAGAGCAACCUGGGCUCUCAUAACACCUGAGCAGUGCCACAGACUGAUCCACUCCAUGCCACACCACACUGCUGCAGUCAUUCAGGGGAAAGGAGCCUCAACUAAGUAUUGAGUGCUGUACAUACUCAUACUUUUCAUGUUCAUACUUUUCAGUUGGCCAAGAUUUCUAAAAAUCCUUUCUUUGUAUUGGUCUUAAGUUAUACUCUAAUUUUCUAAGAUAAUGAAUUUGGGAUUUUCCUUAGUUGUCAGAUAUAAAUAAAUAUAUCAG